UGCGGCAGUUUAUCUCAGUACGGCCAAGUAAUUUUGGAACAUGCAAAAAGUGCCAUGAGAGCUGGACAACAUUUGUGUUCAUCCAUUAUAAAUUCGUCCAGCUUGUUUAGAAGUAAAAUUCCUUUUUUCCUUCCGAGGGAAACAAGAUACAACCAAUUUGACAAAAGUUGUAUGUUGGCACGUAACACAGAGGCCCAAACAGAGCAAAAGAAGCCAAACCAGAUUCUAGAGGUAGCUAAAGUAGUGUGGUACAAGCAUGCAGUUCCUAGGUGGGCUAUUGUGCAAUGGUUGGCUAUCCUGUGUAGACUUUCCACAAGGGAUAGGUUGCAGCAGUGGGGUGUUUUGGUGGAAAACCAAUGUGUGUUUUGUGGAGAUUGUUGCAGAUGAAGUUUAGUUCCUUUUGCAGCCUAUCUGUUCUUUCACAGGUGGUAGAUUGGAUGGUUCAACACCAUACUGGCACUCUUUUCUUGAAUCUCUUUUCUUUUCUUGAAUCUGGUGGCUAAAGUGGUUUUUGCUGCUACGAUUUAUCAUGUUUGGGGGGAGCAUAACAGAUGUAUUUUCCAACAGCAUAGAGGCUUGGAUGUGAGGGGUUUGGAAGCUCAGAUUUGCACAGAGGUUAGAGCCUGUAUCAGUUCUUGGAGAGGAGUGACGAGAAUAGGAGUAAAUCUGGCCCUCUGCUCUCGUUGGCGCUUCUCUAGUCGUAUUUUUUACUCUAGGUAUUAGCGAGUAGCUUGUAUAGUUGCUGGUUUUGGGUUAGUUGUCUUUUCUGUUGAUUGUUGGUAGAGUGCUCUGCUGAGCAAUUUUUGGCUUGGUUCACUGGGGAAUGCCCCUUUGAUUUUGUAUCCCGUUUGUUGUGAAUAAAAACUUUAAUUACCCAAAAAAAGAAGAAGAAGCCAAAUAUGUGUCAGCUUAGAAGCACGGAUACACCAACAAGCCUCACUUGUGUGUGCCAGCUUAGUGACUCUUCAUAAUGUUUAUCUUAGUUACAUUUUCACCCCAGUUUGACAAAAAUAAUUUUGUACUUAACAGAUAACGUCGUAACGAAUCUCCAACGUGUCCACGUCCCCUUUUUUUUUUUUU
Rhododendron vialii is the source of this 1080-nucleotide long non-coding RNA. RefSeq lists it as uncharacterized. The record is from RefSeq and is a predicted model, not a curated record. NCBI's taxonomy places the organism in Eukaryota, Viridiplantae, Streptophyta, Magnoliopsida, Ericales, Ericaceae. The transcript is spliced from 2 exons.